Molecule: antisense RNA, 69 nt
Filed under: Streptomyces rubellomurinus
Lineage: Bacteria; Bacillati; Actinomycetota; Actinomycetes; Kitasatosporales; Streptomycetaceae
Also listed under: 1 other name
Description: ASpks TB sRNA
Rfam family: ASpks TB sRNA
Source: Rfam by way of RNAcentral
CUUCACCGACCCGAGCCACAGCGGAAGUUCACGGCCCUGCCCGUACGUCGCCAGCAGCGCCUGCGCCUC